RNAcentral lists this unclassified non-coding RNA (456 nucleotides) under uncultured Mortierella. Its description in RNAcentral is "sequence contains ITS2". The stretch from base 1 to 154 matches the Rfam family "5.8S ribosomal RNA". The record is from RNAcentral. Lineage: Eukaryota; Fungi; Mortierellomycota; Mortierellomycetes; Mortierellales; Mortierellaceae.
AACUUUCGGCAACGGAUCACUUGGCUCUCACAUCAAUGAAGAAGGCAGCGAAAUGUGAUACAUAAUGUGAAUUGCAGAAUUCAGUGAAUCAUCGAAUCUUUGAAUGCAUAUUGUGCUCUUUGGUAUUCCAAAGAGCAUGCUUGUUUGAGUAUCAGUAAACACCUCAACCUCCUCUUGUUUUUUCAAAAGGAGGGUGGACUUGAGCUAUCCCAACAACCUUCACUGGUAGGUGGGCAGCUUGAAAUGCAGGUGCAGCUGGACUUUUAUCUGAGCUAAAAGCAUAUCUAUUUAGUCCUCAUCAAACAGGAUUAAUACUAUUGCUGCAGCUAACAUAAAGGAUAAUUGUCCUCAUUGCUGACUGAUGCCGGAUUUUAUGACACUUUAUGUGUUGUUCAACUCGAUCUCAAAUCAAGUAAGACUACCUGCUGAACUUAAGCAUAUCAAUAAGCGGAGGCU